AUGCUUUCUAGAAGAAAAGUGUUNGGGGGCACAUACCAUCUACCAGCCCCGGAUCAGCUUUCUGGCUCAGGAAGCUGGCUGAUGCCAGAAGCGCAGCCUCUCGCUGCCCCCCGCACACCUUUGAGCUCCCCGCAGCACCCACACCUCCUGCCCCACUGUGAGCCCACCUUUCUUGAACUCCUCCAGCAUGGCGUCAAGCUUGGUGUCAUUGAAGACAAAGUGCAGCGGGUGGUUGUAGAAGCGGGUGAUGGUCUUGAGCAGAGUGCAGUCAUCAGGGUCCACAAAAGCCAGGUCCUUGACAAAGAGCAAGUCCACAAUGUUGGAGCGGUCACCCUCAAAAACAGGGAUGCGGGUGUAGCCGCUCUCCAUGAUCUCAGACAUGGUGUUGAAGUCCAGCACAGCCUCAGCGGCAAUCAUGAAGCAGUCUCGAAGCGGAGUCAUCACGUCCUCCACCGUCUUGGUGCGCAGCUCCAGGGCUCCCUGUAUGAUGUUGAGCUCCUCCUUGACCAGGUCAUUGUAAGGGUCGGUGACCCGCAGCAUCUCCAGCAACUUCUCACGGUUGUAGACCGUACCGAUCUCCUGGCCCAGCACGCAGUCCAGCAGCUUGCUGACCGGGUAGGAGGCCGGGAAGGUCAUCAUCAUGAAAAACUUGGUGAGGAAGAUGGUGUUGGCGCCCACGGCCAGGCCGUGCCGAGAGCAAAUGGCCUGCGGCACGAUCUCGCCGAAGAUGACGAUACCGAUGGUGGAGACCACCACGGCCACCAGCCCAGAGCCAGCGAUGUCGUCCAGCAGGAUGGUCAGCGUGGUGUUGACCAGGACGUUGCCCAGCAGGAGGGAGCACAGCAGGUAGUUGCCCUGGCGGCGCACGGGCUCGAUGCGCUUGGCGUAGUUCUUCUCUUUGUCGGUGCCGCAGUUCUGCACAAUGCGCAGCUCCAUGGGGUCCAGGGCCAUCAGGCCCAGGUUGAGGCCACUGAACAUGCCCGAGAGGCAGAGCAGCAGCGAGAUGAAGAUCACCUGCAGCCAGAAGGGCAGCAGGAACUUCUUCUCCUCGCCCACGAUCAUCUUGGUGUCCUCUCCGUCGUGGUAGAUCCAGGUGGUCUCGCCCCACGGCGGGGGGCCGUCCCGCCCCUCGGCGUCCACCAUCCUCCCGGCGGCCCCGGGCCCCAGGGCGGCGGCAGAGACAGAGGUGCACAGGUAGUAGGAUUUGCUCUUCUCCGUCUUGCGCAGGGGCUUGAUCUCGAUCUCGAUGAUGCCCGAGGUGCGGCGGUUGAGUACGAUGUGCGGCAGGAUGAUGAUGUCCGAUGUGCGGAUGCCGCAGCGCUGCGGGGCUCCGCCGCCGCCUCCCGCCGAACCGCCGCCGCCUCCGCCGCCGACGCGCCCCGCCGCCCCCGCCGCCGCCCGCCCGACCCGCCGCCGCUCGUGCUCCGUGAAGGCGAUGCGCGACCACGUCUCGUUGUUGAUGUUCUGCCCGUAGACCCGCAGCUUCACCCGCGUCCGCUCGCUCACCCGCAGCGCUCCCCCCUCCAUAAAGGAGACGUCGUCCGUGUCCUCCAGCCGCAGGCCAAUGAUCACCGUCUCCUCCGCCGAGGGGACGGAGGCGGCGGGCGGCGCGGCGGCGGCAGCGGAGGCCGGGGGCCGGCGGCCGAGGCAGGCGGCGAGCAGCAGCAGCAGCAGCUCCACCCGCGCCCCCCGGCCGCCCCCCGCCAUGUUCCCACCGGGCAGCGCGGCCAUGUUUAG
Long non-coding RNA from Pavo cristatus (Indian peafowl), 1737 nucleotides. Lineage: Eukaryota; Metazoa; Chordata; Aves; Galliformes; Phasianidae. The record is from Ensembl.